AAACAUACUUAAUAAUUAAAACCAUAAAUAAAACUGAAAAUUCAAAAAUAAAUAAAUUUUGUAAGAAAAAGCUUAAUACUUUAUGCAUUUGGUACAUCACCAAAAAUUGCAUCAAGUAGUGUGAUAAACUGUAAAUAACGUUGAACUCGCGGGUUUUCCGGAUUGCCUCUAUACAUAUGAUAAAGUUUCUUCAAGAUAUCCAAACGAUUUUUAACACAUCUCCAACUCAAAUUUUUUCCAAACGUUAAUAUUCUUAAGAAUAUUUUCUUUUUGAACAUCACUUAGAAAUCUGAUUUUGGGGUCUUUGCAUUCUUCCGUUUAUUUCUCCACAAUAACCCGUUGAAGUAACGCAAAUGUGGUCUCGUUUGACCAAAUGAUUUUCUAAUCGAGAAAACAAAUCAAAACAUGUAUUCAAUCAAAAAACUUAAAAAACAACAAAAUAAAAAAAAACGAUGCCAUGAAAUAUUCCGAGAAUUACACUAGCUAAUGAAUGGAUGAAAGGAUAGAUCAUACUUACGUUUGAUUCUUGAUUUUGACUUUGAUUUUUGUCAGUUUGGGUGGAUGCCAUAAUUGAGAGAAUAGGGUUUCAUUGAUUAGGGUUUUCUGAUAAGAAUAAGUAUAGGGUUUGGGUGGAAGACAUAAUUAUUUUAAUUAAUUAAUUAUUAUUAUUUUUAAUCUAACCGCUACCGCCCGCAACCGCAAACGCUUGCGGGAAGGAGCUUUUGAAAUCUGGCGAUUUCGAGCGGUACAAAGCGAUAUCUAGCGGUUUCUAUGAUUAGUGCCAACCGCUAAUAACCGCUACCACCUGCAAACGCAGCGUUUGCGGGUGACAGAGGGAGAACCAAUCAAACCCUAAGUACUUUUUGCUCAUACGGAUCUUCCUAAUUUAGAUUCGAAAGAGA
This 902-nucleotide small RNA is filed under the name Arabidopsis thaliana (thale cress). RNAcentral describes it as "ATSL115920". The record is from RNAcentral. Lineage: Eukaryota; Viridiplantae; Streptophyta; Magnoliopsida; Brassicales; Brassicaceae.